GGAUUAGAUACCCUGGUAGUCCACGCCGUAAACGAUGUCUACUAGCCGUUGGGGAACUUGAUUCUUUAGUGGCGCAGCUAACGCGAUAAGUAGACCGCCUGGGGAGUACGGCCGCAAGGUUAAAACUCAAAUGAAUUGACGGGGGCCCGCACAAGCGGUGGAGCAUGUGGUUUAAUUCGAAGCAACGCGAAGAACCUUACCUACUCUUGACAUCCAGUGAACUUGGUAGAGAUACCUUGGUGCCUUCGGGAACACUGAGACAGGUGCUGCAUGGCUGUCGUCAGCUCGUGCCG
RNAcentral lists this ribosomal RNA (293 nucleotides) under uncultured bacterium. RNAcentral describes it as "partial 16S ribosomal RNA". It matches the Rfam family "Bacterial small subunit ribosomal RNA", at positions 775 to 1067 of the family's 1533-position model. The record is from RNAcentral.